CGCGCUCAUAGCUCAGCUGGAUAGAGCACUUGGCUACGAACUAAGGGGUCGGGAGUUCGAAUCUCUGAGCGCACC
RNAcentral lists this transfer RNA (75 nucleotides) under Acinetobacter baumannii. RNAcentral's name for it is "tRNA-Arg". It matches the Rfam family "tRNA". Rfam says of the family: Transfer RNA (tRNA) molecules are approximately 80 nucleotides in length. Lineage: Bacteria; Pseudomonadati; Pseudomonadota; Gammaproteobacteria; Moraxellales; Moraxellaceae. The record is from RNAcentral.